This 86-nucleotide transfer RNA is filed under the name Desulfobaculum senezii. RNAcentral's name for it is "tRNA-Tyr". It matches the Rfam family "tRNA". From Rfam's summary of the family: Transfer RNA (tRNA) molecules are approximately 80 nucleotides in length. Their secondary structure includes four short double-helical elements and three loops (D, anti-codon, and T loops). Lineage: Bacteria; Pseudomonadati; Thermodesulfobacteriota; Desulfovibrionia; Desulfovibrionales; Desulfovibrionaceae. RNAcentral also lists the same sequence under 5 other names. The record is from RNAcentral.
GGAGGGGUUCCCGAGUGGCCAAAGGGAACAGACUGUAAAUCUGUCGGCGAUUGCCUUCGGAGGUUCAAAUCCUCCCCCCUCCACCA